RNAcentral lists this transfer RNA (75 nucleotides) under Cordylochernes scorpioides. RNAcentral describes it as "tRNA-Thr". It matches the Rfam family "tRNA". Rfam says of the family: Transfer RNA (tRNA) molecules are approximately 80 nucleotides in length. Their secondary structure includes four short double-helical elements and three loops (D, anti-codon, and T loops). Further hydrogen bonds mediate the characteristic L-shaped molecular structure. tRNAs have two regions of fundamental functional importance: the anti-codon, which is responsible for specific mRNA codon recognition, and the 3' end, to which the tRNAs corresponding amino acid is attached (by aminoacyl-tRNA synthetases). tRNAs cope with the degeneracy of the genetic code in two manners: having more than one tRNA (with a specific anti-codon) for a particular amino acid; and 'wobble' base-pairing, i.e. permitting non-standard base-pairing at the 3rd anti-codon position. The record is from RNAcentral. Lineage: Eukaryota; Metazoa; Arthropoda; Arachnida; Pseudoscorpiones; Chernetidae.
GUCCAAGGCAGCCUAGUGGACAUGGCAUCUGCCCGGUAAGCGGAACACUGUGGGUUCGAUUCCCAUCCCUGGACA